Molecule: non-coding RNA, 73 nt
Organism: Ixodes scapularis (black-legged tick)
Lineage: Eukaryota; Metazoa; Arthropoda; Arachnida; Ixodida; Ixodidae
Source: Rfam
CCCUGGUUAGCUCAGGUGGUAGAGCGCUCCACCUGUAAUGGAGAGGUCCCGGGUUCGAUACCCGGACCAGGCU